GACGAACGCUGGCGGCGUGCUUAACACAUGCAAGUCGAACGGAAGGGCCCUGCUUUUGUGGGUUUCUCGAUUGGCGAACGGGGGAGUAACACGUGAGUAACCUGCCCUUGACUUUGUGAUAACUUCAGGAAACUGGGGCUAAUACCGGAUAUGAUCUCCUGCUGCAUGUUGUUGGUUGGAAAGUUUCGGCCGUUGUGUAUGUACUCGCUGCUUAUCAGCUUGUUGGUGGGGUAGUGGCUUACGAAGGCUUUGACGGGUAGCCGGCCUGGGAGGGUGACCGGGCACAUGGGGACUGAGAUAGGGACCAGAAUGCAACGGGAGGCAGCAGUGGGGAAUAUUGCAGAAUGGCGGGAAGCCUGAGGCAGCAACGUCGCGUGCGGGAUGCCGGCCUUCGGGUUGUAAACAGCUUUGGAAUGUGACGAAGAGUGAGUGACGGUAAUGGGUAAAGAAGCAACGGCUAACUACGUG
This 468-nucleotide ribosomal RNA is filed under the name uncultured bacterium. Its description in RNAcentral is "partial 16S ribosomal RNA". It matches the Rfam family "Bacterial small subunit ribosomal RNA", at positions 28 to 507 of the family's 1533-position model. The record is from RNAcentral.